UUGGAGGGCAAGUCUGGUGCCAGCAGCCGCGGUAAUUCCAGCUCCAAUAGCGUAUAUUAAAGUUGUUGCAGUUAAAAAGCUCGUAGUUGAAUUUCGGGGUCAAUAGGUUGGUCGUGCCAAUGGUAUGUACUGGCUUUAUUGAUUCCUACCUCUUGACGAACUGUGAUGCCAUUAAUUUGGUGUUGCAGGAAAUCAGGACUGUUACCUUGAAAAAAUUAGAGUGUUUAAAGCAGGCUUACGCUUGAAUACAUUAGCAUGGAAUAAUGAAAUAGGACGUUUGAACCUAUUUUGUUGGUUUCUAGGAUCGACGUAAUGAUUAAUAGGGAUAGUUGGGGGCAUUAGUAUUCAAUUGUCAGAGGUGAAAUUCUUGGAUUUAUUGAAGACUAACUACUGCGAAAGCAUUUGCCAAGGAUGUUUUCAUUAAUCAAGAACGAAAGUUAGGGGAUCGAAGACGAUCAGAUACCGUCGUAGUCUUAACCAUAAACUAUGCCGACUAGGGAUCGGAUGAUGUUAAUUUUUUAAUGACUCAUUCGGCGCCUUACGGGAAAC
This 549-nucleotide ribosomal RNA is filed under the name uncultured Glomus. RNAcentral describes it as "SSU rRNA". It matches the Rfam family "Eukaryotic small subunit ribosomal RNA", at positions 548 to 1098 of the family's 1831-position model. Lineage: Eukaryota; Fungi; Glomeromycota; Glomeromycetes; Glomerales; Glomeraceae. The record is from RNAcentral. RNAcentral also lists the same sequence under 1 other name.